Molecule: ribosomal RNA, 403 nt
Filed under: uncultured bacterium
Lineage: Bacteria
Description: bacterial SSU rRNA
Rfam family: Bacterial small subunit ribosomal RNA
Source: RNAcentral
UGGGGAAUAUUGGGCAAUGGGGGAAACCCUGACCCAGCAACGCCGCGUGAAGGAAGAAGGUUUUCGGAUCGUAAACUUCUAUCCUUGGUGAAGAUAAUGACGGUAGCCAAGAAGGAAGCCCCGGCUAACUACGUGCCAGCAGCCGCGGUAAUACGUAGGGGGCAAGCGUUGUCCGGAAUGAUUGGGCGUAAAGGGCGCGUAGGCGGCCUGGUAAGUCUGGAGUGAAAGUCCUGCUUUUAAGGUGGGAAUUGCUUUGGAUACUGUCGGGCUUGAGUGCAGGAGAGGUAAGCGGAAUUCCCGGUGUAGCGGUGAAAUGCGUAGAGAUCGGGAGGAACACCAGUGGCGAAGGCGGCUUACUGGACUGUAACUGACGCUGAGGCGCGAAAGUGUGGGGAGCAAACAG